GGAGGCGUCAGGGUUCCUGGUGGGCCCCCCGGUCUUCAAAACCGGUGGGACCGAGCAUCUCGGUCCGGCGGGUUCGAUUCCCGUCCGUCUCCG
RNAcentral lists this transfer RNA (93 nucleotides) under Knoellia remsis. RNAcentral describes it as "Tetrasphaera remsis tRNA-OTHER". It matches the Rfam family "Selenocysteine transfer RNA". Lineage: Bacteria; Bacillati; Actinomycetota; Actinomycetes; Micrococcales; Intrasporangiaceae. The record is from RNAcentral.